Oryctolagus cuniculus (rabbit) is the source of this 2280-nucleotide non-coding RNA. Lineage: Eukaryota; Metazoa; Chordata; Mammalia; Lagomorpha; Leporidae. The record is from RefSeq and is a predicted model, not a curated record.
CCGUGGGAUUUCGCAGCUUUCAGCCACCACUUUUGAUUGGACAGCUUGCAUUGUGGUGUGCAGGCACGAAGUCUAAAAGACGCAGCCAAUCAGCAUCCUCUGUAGCGGGACACAGGAGUUCUGGUCGUGACAGAUGGGAAAAAUAAGAGGGAGUCCGGUUGAUUUCCACAACUGUGUCUUCGGCUCCAGCCUCGCUGUGGCAGGAGGGAUUUUCUCCUCCCUGGUCCUGUCAACUGCUGGCCUCCCUCCCGCCUCCCGGUCCGUCUUCCUUAGAAGAUCCUACUUGGGUGUUGCAGGAACUUCCUUCAGAGCUUUUGGGAUUGCUUGUUUUCAUAUAGAUUGCAAUGAAAAUUUCUUAGAAGCAAAAUAAUCACUAUUAAAAACUAUUGACAUCAGGAUUUUAAAAACUUGCCAUUAACCUUUAUCAUUUGACUUAGGUUUCCUGUGCUCAGAGACAACUACGCAAGGACUAGAGUGAACAGGUGCAAAUGAAGGAGGAGAGCCAGUAGCUCUACUCAGUGACCCUGGCUGUGAAGAAUCAGCUGGUUGGUUACAGAGCAGUCUCCAUCUCUGGAACAAGUGCAUCCUCCCUGAUUCAGAUGUAUGUGGUAAGGACGGGCCUCACAAGAUCAGCUGGAUAACUGGUCCAGUGUGGAUCAAGAAGCACACAUGAGAGGUCCACCAGAAUGGACUCAAGAGACUGAGAGCUUUUGUCCAGAUGGGGAACUGCAUGUUGAGAAGAUAUAUGUCACCACUUUAAAAUCAAAGGGUGUUGGACUCAUAAAUGGGAGCACAGACUUAGCAGUUCUAAUCAGGUUAAACAUUCACUUUUGAGCAAAUCAUAACAAAGGGGUGUCUGGUGGGUAUCAGAAAAACAGGAAAUUUUUCAGUUGGUAAACUGUAAUUCCUCUACUUCUGUGCAUGCGAAAUAGAAAGACUAGUGAAACUGGUAGAGGAGACUGAGGGAUAGGUGGCAAAACACAUCAACACAGAAAUUGGGGUCCACAUCUAAAUAAAUUGCUUUGAGAAGGACAAUGCAGACCAUGGACCAUUGUACUGCUGAAAUGCAGUUACCCCGGGCUAGAAGGAAGUAGAGGAAAUGCAGCCUGUGUUCUGCUACCAAUGCAGGAGCCCUGGCACAGGGAUUUGUGGAGGGGCCAGUUUUCUGAUUUAUAGGUGCUUCAUUGUUUCACUGAGACCCAACACCACAGAAGAAGAACCGGGGUUGCCACUGGGAGUCUCCUGGAGCAAUGGAGGCAGAUUGAAAAAUCAGAUGUGCUUGUACUUGUUCUGAAGCAGAGGUUACUGAUUUACUUGUAUCUGUUGACAAGACUGAGAGCAAACAACCUGCCUAGAUAGGCCUGCCUUGGAGAAAUGAGUUCAAAGUUGAGAAGUGUGGGGUUCAGCUGCUCUCCUCCACUUUCUUCCAAAAACCAGGAAAGUUCACUGUUCCCUGAGGUGGCUCCUAUUUCCAAUGAUGCCAAGACCAUGGAUGUCAUGCUUCUAAAGUUGAAAUGACAGUUAAGGGCCUGCAGGGAGAUGAGCUGAUGCCAUUCCUUCCCUGUAACCACAUCUUGAGCAUUCAUUUCAUAAUGAAUUCACAUCAGAGGCUUGGCUGGGUGAGUGUCUUUCUGUUUUAUUCACAGAGUGAGCUCCAAGAGCUUGUGGAUCCUGGGCUGAAGCAGGAUUGGUCUCAGUGAACUGUUAGGAAGAUUUUCUGCUUGAUGACAUAGGUCUUAGAUAUUACUCCACCACUAACACUAUAAAUGUCUCUAGACAUGAAAUGGUGAAAUUCAUGAAGUAUGGAAGGCCAUAAAUGAAAUGGUUUGCAGAAGUAUAUUGUGAUUUUUUAUCUACUUGUAUUAGUUUUGUAUCUGGUUUUCCUCAAUCUAGUAUAUUUCUCAAUUUGACAUAUUUUUUCCAAGUAAAUUUGUUCUAGCAAGACACAAGAAACCUGAACUAAUUCAUUAUGCUUUAGUGAUAUUUAUUUUUCUUCUGUCAAGUUUUGAAAUUUUUCAGAAAGCUUUAGGACUGUUCACCUCAUUGUCCCAAUAGUUAUGCAAUAUUCUUAUAUUAUACAAUAAUGAGCUUAACAGGUGGAUAUACACAUUGAGACCUAUAUGGAGUCCCUCUGUCCUAUCUUUGUCCAGACCAAGUCUCAGCAUUUGUGGGCAUGUUGAUGAGUACAUCAGUAAACCAGUUGAUGGAAGAUAACUCUCUCUCUCUCUGUCUCUCUCCCCCUCCCUCUCUUCUUCAUUCUGCCCCUACAGUGUGUCACUC